RNAcentral lists this ribosomal RNA (690 nucleotides) under Fallicambarus macneesei. Its description in RNAcentral is "partial 28S ribosomal RNA". It matches the Rfam family "Eukaryotic large subunit ribosomal RNA", at positions 597 to 897 of the family's 3401-position model. Lineage: Eukaryota; Metazoa; Arthropoda; Malacostraca; Decapoda; Cambaridae. The record is from RNAcentral.
GUAUUUCGCCUCACAGUAGGUCGCCGCGACCCGUUGCUUUUGGGGACGUCGAAGGCCCGGACGGAUUGGUACCCUACCGGCUGGGGAUGCGGCUUCGGCUUCUCCUCUUGUCCGGUGGGCGAAACCGCCGGUGUCCUGGCUGCCCUGCGACGGUCGUAGAGACGAGCCCUCCCCAUUCGUGGGGGGCGGCUCUCGCGGCGUGCAAAAGGUCGGUGAUCCACCCGACCCGUCUUGAAACACGGACCAAGGAGUCUAACAUGUGUGCGAGUCAGUGGGCGCACUAAACCCAGAGGCGUAAUGAAAGUGACACGGGUUCGGCUGUCGCCUCGUGUGGCAGCCGGACUCGGGGCCGAUCCCUCACCGGUUGCCCUCGCCUCUCUCCCGCGUCUCGGUAAGCCGGGUGAGCUAUUUUCCCCGGCCAAUGCUGCGGGGCUCGGGAGGCGGCGGGGUUGCGAUGGUGUCCGUAAAAAAGAGCCUGCUGUUGCAGGGGGGCGCAGGCCCGGGACUUGCCAGGACGCCGCGAGACUGUCACUUUGCUGUGAGGCUCCAGGGCCGAUCAGCGGGUCAUGCGUGCAGUCGGCAAGUACCAUGAGCAGACAUGUUGGGACCCGAAAGAUGGUGAACUAUGCCUGGCCAGGAUGAAGCCAGAGGAAACUCUGGUGGAGGUCCGUAGCGAUUCUGACGUGCAAA